GGGGGUAUUCCGUGGCCGGUUGCCGCGGCUGUAAACCGCUUGCACGAGAGUUCGAUUCUUUCUACCCCCACCA
Molecule: transfer RNA, 73 nt
Filed under: Deltaproteobacteria bacterium
Lineage: Bacteria; Pseudomonadati; Myxococcota; Myxococcia
Description: tRNA-Tyr
Rfam family: tRNA
About the family: Transfer RNA (tRNA) molecules are approximately 80 nucleotides in length. Their secondary structure includes four short double-helical elements and three loops (D, anti-codon, and T loops).
Source: RNAcentral